RNAcentral lists this ribosomal RNA (440 nucleotides) under uncultured bacterium. RNAcentral's name for it is "partial 16S ribosomal RNA". It matches the Rfam family "Bacterial small subunit ribosomal RNA", at positions 338 to 795 of the family's 1533-position model. The record is from RNAcentral.
CCUACGGGGGGCAGCAGUAGGGAAUAUUUCUCAAUGGGGGAAACCCUGAAGCAGCAACGCAGCGUGGAGGAUGAAGGUUUUCGGAUUGUAAACUCCUUUUGUUAGAGAAGAUAAUGACGGUAUCUAACGAAUAAGCACCGGCUAACUCCGUGCCAGCAGCCGCGGUAAUACGGAGGGUGCAAGCGUUACUCGGAAUCACUGGGCGGAAAGAGCGCGUAGGCGGGAUAGCAAGUCAGAUGUGAAAUCCUAUGGCUUAACCAUAGAACUUCAUUUGAAACUGUUAUUCUAGAGUAUGGGAGAGGUAGGUGGAAUUCUUGGUGUAGGGGUAAAAUCCGUAGAGAUCAAGAGGAAUACUCAUUGCGAAGGCGACCUGCUAGAACAUAACUGACGCUGAUGCGCGAAAGCGUGGGGAGCAAACAGGAUUAGAUACCCCAGUAGUC